Molecule: ribosomal RNA, 440 nt
Filed under: uncultured bacterium
Lineage: Bacteria
Description: bacterial SSU rRNA
Rfam family: Bacterial small subunit ribosomal RNA
Source: RNAcentral
CCUACGGGAGGCAGCAGUAGGGAAUCUUGCGCAAUGGGCGAAAGCCUGACGCAGCGACGCCGCGUGAGGGAAGAAGGCCUUCGGGUUGUAAACCUCUUUCAGGAGGGACGAAGCCACUCAGGUUAAUAGCCGAGAGGGUGACGGUACCUCCAGAAGAAGCCCCGGCUAACUACGUGCCAGCAGCCGCGGUAAUACGUAGGGGGCAAGCGUUGUCCGGAUUUAUUGGGCGUAAAGAGCGUGUAGGCGGCCGUACAGGUCAGCUGUGAAAACUCGAGGCUCAACCUCGAGACGUCGGUUGAAACCGUACGGCUAGAGUCCGGAAGAGGAGAGUGGAAUUCCCGGUGUAGCGGUGAAAUGCGCAGAUAUCGGGAAGAACACCCGUGGCGAAGGCGGCUCUCUGGGACGGUACUGACGCUGAGACGCGAAAGCGUGGGGAGCAA